GUUGUGAAAUAAUCAAUUGCAGAGCCUUGAAAAAGACUCCAAGUACAAUUUUUGCGAACCCUGUUCAAUUUGGAUAGGGUU
This 81-nucleotide small nuclear RNA is filed under the name Caenorhabditis japonica. Its description in RNAcentral is "sRNA CJA48885". It matches the Rfam family "SmY spliceosomal RNA". The record is from Rfam by way of RNAcentral. Lineage: Eukaryota; Metazoa; Nematoda; Chromadorea; Rhabditida; Rhabditidae.